CUGUGUCACCAUGCCCAGCAUAAGAUUUUAUUUGCUCCUCCUGUACAAUGGCUGCAAACAGCAACCUCCUUGGUAGUGUAUGCAGCCUGUUGCAUAUAUAUGGACUGCUCUAAGGGACCUUGGAGACAGUU
Molecule: small nucleolar RNA, 131 nt
Organism: Nannospalax galili (Upper Galilee mountains blind mole rat)
Lineage: Eukaryota; Metazoa; Chordata; Mammalia; Rodentia; Spalacidae
Gene: SNORA70
Rfam family: Small nucleolar RNA SNORA70
About the family: snoRNA U70 seems to be exclusive to mammals and is a member of the H/ACA class of snoRNA which contain H (ANANNA) and ACA box motifs. H/ACA box snoRNAs are involved in the conversion of uridines to pseudouridines (5-ribosyluracil) a constituent of structural RNAs (transfer, ribosomal, small nuclear, and small nucleolar).
Source: Ensembl